RNAcentral lists this ribosomal RNA (460 nucleotides) under uncultured bacterium. RNAcentral's name for it is "partial 16S ribosomal RNA". It matches the Rfam family "Bacterial small subunit ribosomal RNA", at positions 338 to 795 of the family's 1533-position model. The record is from RNAcentral.
CCUACGGGAGGCAGCAGUGAGGAAUAUUGGUCAAUGGACGAGAGUCUGAACCAGCCAAGUAGCGUGAAGGAUGACUGCCCUAUGGGUUGUAAACUUCUUUUAUAUGGGAAUAAAACGUUCCACGUGUGGGAUUUUGUAUGUACCAUAUGAAUAAGGAUCGGCUAACUCCGUGCCAGCAGCCGCGGUAAUACGGAGGAUCCGAGCGUUAUCCGGAUUUAUUGGGUUUAAAGGGAGCGUAGGUGGAUUGUUAAGUCAGUUGUGAAAGUUUGCGGCUCAACCGUAAAAUUGCAGUUGAAACUGGCAGUCUUGAGUACAGUAGAGGUGGGCGGAAUUCGUGGUGUAGCGGUGAAAUGCGUAGAUAUCACGAAGAACUCCGAUUGCGAAGGCAGUUCACUGGACUGCAACUGACACUGAGGCUCGAAAGUGUGGGUAUCAAACAGGAUUAGAUACCCUAGUAGUC